UACGUAGGGGGCAAGCGUUGUCCGGAUUUAUUGGGCCUAAAGCAUCCGUAGCCGGUUCUACAAGUCUUCCGUUAAAUCCACCUGCUUAACAGAUGGGCUGCGGAAGAUACUAUGGAGCUAGGAGGCGGGAGAGGCAAGCGGUACUCGAUGGGUAGGGGUAAAAUCCGUUGAUCCAUUGAAGACCACCAGUGGCGAAGGCGGCUUGCCAGAACGCGCUCGACGGUGAGGGAUGAAAGCUGGGGGAGCAAACCGG
This 253-nucleotide ribosomal RNA is filed under the name uncultured bacterium. Its description in RNAcentral is "partial 16S ribosomal RNA". It matches the Rfam family "Bacterial small subunit ribosomal RNA", at positions 524 to 776 of the family's 1533-position model. The record is from RNAcentral.